Myotis davidii is the source of this 674-nucleotide non-coding RNA. The record is from the annotation of a RefSeq genome assembly. NCBI's taxonomy places the organism in Eukaryota, Metazoa, Chordata, Mammalia, Chiroptera, Vespertilionidae.
CUCAGGCACCCUGACCAUCACGGGGCUGCAGGCUGAGGACGAGGCCGUCUAUUACUGCUUAGCAUGGGACGACAGUCUCAAAGCUUACACAGUGCUGCAGGCCUGUGGAGAACAAGUGUCUGUGUCUGCAGGGUCCCUUUCCCAGCCUGUGCUGACUCAGCCGCCCGCCCUCUCUGCAUCUCUGGGAGCCACAGCCAGACUCACCUGCACCCUGAGCAGUGGCUUCAAUGUUGGAGACUAUGGAAUGGUUUGGUACCAGCAGAAGCCAGCGAGCCCUCCCCGGUACCUGCUGUCCUACAAAUCGGACUCAGACAAGUACCAGGGCGCGGGCGUGCCCAGCCGCUUCUCCGGAUCCAAAGACGCCUCAGCUAACUCGGCUGUCCUGCACAUCACUGGGCUGCAGCCCGAGGACGAGGCUGACUAUCACUGUGACACGUGGGACGGCAACUUCAAGACUCUCACAGUGGUCCACACCCACAGGGGAGGGAGACAAAACCCUCCUCUCUGCUCCCUGGGCCGGGCCCUGUCCCCCUGCUGGCGGCUCUGACCUAGUGCAGCUCAGCGGGGACUUGUGCUGUCAGAUCCCCACCCGGCACCUGACUGUGGGUGGACAGUCGUUUUGACAAUGUCACAGCUUUGUCCUCACCUUUCAGGUUGACGUAUUGUUCUCAUGU